RNAcentral lists this ribosomal RNA (253 nucleotides) under uncultured bacterium. RNAcentral describes it as "partial 16S ribosomal RNA". It matches the Rfam family "Bacterial small subunit ribosomal RNA", at positions 524 to 776 of the family's 1533-position model. The record is from RNAcentral.
GACAGAGGGGGCUAGCGUUGCUCGGAAUGACUGGGCGUAAAGGGCGCGUAGGCGGACUGCACAGUCAGGCGUGAAAUUCCUGGGCUUAACCUGGGGACUGCGUCUGAGACGUGUGAUCUAGAGUGAGGAAGAGGGUCGUGGAAUUUCCAGUGUAGAGGUGAAAUUUGUAGAUAUUGGAAAGAACACCGGUGGCGAAGGCGGCGACCUGGUCCUUGACUGACGCUGAGGCGCGAAAGCGUGGGGAGCAAACAGG